ACACUGACUAUAAGGAUGUAUAUAGAUACUGUAUUACUACACUGAUAUAUAGAUAUACUGUACAUGUAGCAGCGUCAUCAUGCAGAAACCUACGUCAGGUUAAACGUUUUUAGAAGAGCUUGAAGGGGAACUAACAUUGUGAUGAUAAAACUGAUGAACUUUGACCAGAAUGACAUCGACGUUUCACCUCGUUGCACAAAAACAAUCACAGACAAUACGCAGUGAAAUACCGACUGUAUUGCCUCACACACCCGCACAUUGCUCAAGCACAGUGAGGCCAAACAAUCACACCCUGCAACCCUCCCGCUGUAUAAACACCACUAACUCAGCUCAGCCAACUGGACACACCAACUUUAUUUAAACUCUGAGCUGAAACAAUAAAUAUCUCCGGUUUAAACACGUCGCUGGGUUCAGGAGGAGACUCGCUUUAAACCUCUGAGGAGGACGAGGAGGAGGAGGAGGAAGAGGAAGAGGACGAGGACGAGGAGGAGAAGGAGAAGGAGGAGGAAGAGGAGGAGGAGGAGGACGAGGAGGAGGAGGAGGACCAGGAGGAGGAGGAGGACGAGGAGGAGGAGGAGAAGCAUAUGUUCCUGCAGGCGUUGGAGGCCCCUGCUUUUAAAAAAACGUCAUAAAUCAGAGCGGAGGCUCGUCUCCUCUGUUUGUACAGCACUUCACCGUCAAGUUAAACCUGUCUGCACCAAACUGAACGUCUCUUUCUCAGUUUAGUUUCUGCUGAAGAACAUAAAUCAUCUCAUUGUUGGAUUUGAAACCAGAAGUAAAACUAGAGAGUUAAAGUUAAAGUUCAUUAUUCAGAAGUUAGAAGUCAUUGAGUUUGAGCUAAAAACUGGAUCUAAUUCUGUCACAUGUCGAGCUACAACUAAUAAUUACCAGAAUUACCAGAUUAGAUAGACUGAUUAAACAGCUGUGAUAUAACGUGUUAAUUAGUCAUUAUAGCCGAAUCGAUCUGAACAUCUAACUCUCAAAUAAUUUCCCAAUAUGUCGAAUUAUUCCUUUAAAGUUGAAGAAUUAAAGCACCUUUUCCCAACGG
Sebastes umbrosus (honeycomb rockfish) is the source of this 1048-nucleotide long non-coding RNA. RefSeq lists it as uncharacterized. Lineage: Eukaryota; Metazoa; Chordata; Actinopteri; Perciformes; Sebastidae. The record is from RefSeq and is a predicted model, not a curated record. The transcript has 2 exons.